GUGAAUCAUCAAAUUUUUGAACGCAAAUUGCGCUUCCUGGCAUCCCGGGAAGUAUGCCUGUUUGAGGAUCAGUAUUAACAAAAAAUCGGUUUGGUUGCUAAUUGUGACGUUUCCGGGGCUUUGUCUAUCUUAACUUUUUUGGUUAAGGGGCAUAAAAUUGACCUUUUUUGCGCAUUUUUAUAUUUACAUAAAUUUUUUUUUUAUUGUGGUAUUUUUAAUGCCAAAAUC
RNAcentral lists this unclassified non-coding RNA (228 nucleotides) under Glomeraceae sp. RNAcentral describes it as "partial contains 5.8S ribosomal RNA and internal transcribed spacer 2". The stretch from base 1 to 71 matches the Rfam family "5.8S ribosomal RNA", at positions 84 to 154 of the family's 154-position model. The record is from RNAcentral. Lineage: Eukaryota; Fungi; Glomeromycota; Glomeromycetes; Glomerales; Glomeraceae.